UUAAAUUGAAGAGUUUGAUCAUGGCUCAGAUUGAACGCUGGCGGCAGGCCUAACACAUGCAAGUCGAACGGUAACAGGAAGAAGCUUGCUUCUUUGCUGACGAGUGGCGGACGGGUGAGUAAUGUCUGGGAAACUGCCUGAUGGAGGGGGAUAACUACUGGAAACGGUAGCUAAUACCGCAUAACGUCGCAAGACCAAAGAGGGGGACCUUCGGGCCUCUUGCCAUCGGAUGUGCCCAGAUGGGAUUAGCUAG
This 253-nucleotide ribosomal RNA is filed under the name Escherichia coli. RNAcentral's name for it is "partial 16S ribosomal RNA". It matches the Rfam family "Bacterial small subunit ribosomal RNA", at positions 1 to 248 of the family's 1533-position model. The record is from RNAcentral. Lineage: Bacteria; Pseudomonadati; Pseudomonadota; Gammaproteobacteria; Enterobacterales; Enterobacteriaceae.